This 264-nucleotide ribosomal RNA is filed under the name uncultured archaeon. RNAcentral describes it as "partial 16S ribosomal RNA". It matches the Rfam family "Archaeal small subunit ribosomal RNA", at positions 717 to 982 of the family's 1478-position model. The record is from RNAcentral.
ACACGUCUACAUUAGAUACCCCCGUAGUCCCAGCCGUAAACUAUGCGCGUUAGGUGUAUCGGUGACCACGAGUCACCGAGGUGCCGAAGGGAAACCGUGAAACGUGCCGCCUGGGAAGUACGGUCGCAAGGCUGAAACUUAAAGGAAUUGGCGGGGAGCACCACAACGGGUGGAGCCUGCGGUUUAAUUGGACUCAACGCCGGGAAGCUCACCGGAUAGGACAGCAGAAUGAUUGCCGGGCUGAAGACCCUGCAUGACUAGCUG